Molecule: ribosomal RNA, 253 nt
Filed under: uncultured bacterium
Lineage: Bacteria
Description: partial 16S ribosomal RNA
Rfam family: Bacterial small subunit ribosomal RNA
Source: RNAcentral
GACGAACCGAGCGAACGUUGUUCGGAAUCACUGGGCUUAAAGGGUGCGUAGGCGGGCUGCCAAGUUUGGGGUGAAAUCCUCCGGCUCAACCGGGGAAGUGCCUUGAAUACUGGCGGUCUGGGGGGAGGUAGGGGCGUGCGGAACUAACGGUGGAGCGGUGAAAUGCGUUGAUAUCGUUAGGAACUCCGGUGGCGAAGGCGGCACGCUGGACCUCUUCUGACGCUGAGGCACGAAAGCCAGGGGAGCGAACGGG